UUCCUUGAACCGCAUGGUUCAAGGAUGAAAGACGGUUUCGGCUGUCACUUACAGAUGGACCCGCGGCGCAUUAGCUAGUUGGUGGGGUAAUGGCUCACCAAGGCGACGAUGCGUAGCCGACCUGAGAGGGUGAUCGGCCACACUGGGACUGAGACACGGCCCAGACUCCUACGGGAGGCAGCAGUAGGGAAUCUUCCGCAAUGGACGAAAGUCUGACGGAGCAACGCCGCGUGAGUGAUGAAGGUUUUCGGAUCGUAAAGCUCUGUUGUUAGGGAAGAACAAGUGCGAGAGUAACUGCUCGCACCUUGACGGUACCUAACCAGAAAGCCACGGCUAACUACGUGCCAGCAGCCUGCGGUAAUACGUAGGUGGCAAGCGUUGUUCCGGAAUUAUUGGGGCCGUAAUAGGGCUCGGCAGGCGGUUUCACUUUUAAGUCUGAUGUGAAAGCCCCCGGCUUCAACCCGGGGGGAGGGUCAUUGGAAACUGGGAAACUUGAGUGCAGAAGAGGAGAGUGGAAUUCCACGUGUAGCGGUGAAAUGCGUAGAGAUGUGGAGGAACACCAGUGGCGAAGGUCGACUCUCUGGUCUGUAACUGACGCU
This 599-nucleotide ribosomal RNA is filed under the name Bacillus safensis. RNAcentral's name for it is "bacterial SSU rRNA". It matches the Rfam family "Bacterial small subunit ribosomal RNA", at positions 173 to 747 of the family's 1533-position model. The record is from RNAcentral. Lineage: Bacteria; Bacillati; Bacillota; Bacilli; Caryophanales; Bacillaceae.